CAGUCGCCACGGUAAUACGAGGGGAGCUAGCGUUAUUCGGAAUUACUGGGCGUAAAGCGCACGUAGGCGGCUUUGUAAGUUAGAGGUGAAAGCCCAGAGCUCAACUCUGGAAUUGCCUUUAAGACUGCAUCGCUUGAAUCCAGGAGAGGUGAGUGGAAUUCCGAGUGUAGAGGUGAAAUUCGUAGAUAUUCGGAAGAACACCAGUGGCGAAGGCGGCUCACUGGACUGGUAUUGACGCUGGGGUGCGAAAGCGUGGGGAGCAAACAGGAUUAGAUACCCCGGUAGUCCCUGUCUCUUAUAC
This 301-nucleotide ribosomal RNA is filed under the name uncultured bacterium. RNAcentral's name for it is "partial 16S ribosomal RNA". It matches the Rfam family "Bacterial small subunit ribosomal RNA", at positions 509 to 807 of the family's 1533-position model. The record is from RNAcentral.